AACACAUGCAAGUCGAACGGCAGCACAGAGGAGCUUGCUCCUUGGGUGGCGAGUGGCGGACGGGUGAGGAAUACGUCGGAAUCUGCCUAUUUGUGGGGGAUAACGUAGGGAAACUUACGCUAAUACCGCAUACGACCUACGGGUGAAAGUGGGGGACCGCAAGGCCUCACGCAGAUAGAUGAGCCGACGUCGGAUUAGCUAGUUGGCGGGGUAAAGGCCCACCAAGGCGACGAUCCGUAGCUGGUCUGAGAGGAUGAUCAGCCACACUGGAACUGAGACACGGUCCAGACUCCUACGGGAGGCAGCAGUGGGGAAUAUUGGACAAUGGGCGCAAGCCUGAUCCGGCCAUGCCGCGUGUGUGAAAAAAGCCUUCGGGUUGUAAAGCACUUUUGUCCGGAAAGAAAAGCUUANGGUUAAUAACCCUGANUCAUGACGGUACCGGAAGAAUAAGCACCGGCUAACUUCGUGCCAGCAGCCGCGGUAAUACGAAGGGUGCAAGCGUUCUCGGANUUACUGGGCGU
RNAcentral lists this ribosomal RNA (521 nucleotides) under uncultured bacterium. RNAcentral describes it as "bacterial SSU rRNA". It matches the Rfam family "Bacterial small subunit ribosomal RNA", at positions 50 to 561 of the family's 1533-position model. The record is from RNAcentral.